RNAcentral lists this ribosomal RNA (253 nucleotides) under uncultured bacterium. Its description in RNAcentral is "partial 16S ribosomal RNA". It matches the Rfam family "Bacterial small subunit ribosomal RNA", at positions 524 to 776 of the family's 1533-position model. The record is from RNAcentral.
UACGUAGGGUGCGAGCGUUGUCCGGAAUUAUUGGGCGUAAAGGGCUCGUAGGCGGUUUGUCGCGUCGGGAGUGAAAACACUGGGCUUAACUCAGUGCUUGCUUCCGAUACGGGCAGACUAGAGGUAUGCAGGGGAGAACGGAAUUCCUGGUGUAGCGGUGAAAUGCGCAGAUAUCAGGAGGAACACCGGUGGCGAAGGCGGUUCUCUGGGCCGUAACUGACGCUGAGGAGCGAAAGCAUGGGGAGCGAACAGG